AGAUCAUAAUCAUUUAAUCUCCCCCAACCCCAUACCAAGAGACCACAGCAUCAGCUAGAAGAAACAGAUUCCUAACUCAACUGGAUUCAUCAGUCCACUGACAACCAGAAACUGACUGGGAAAGAUUCUCCCAAACAGCACCUUGUUAUAACAAGUUUUCCAAGCCACAGUAAAGAAAGCACAAAGACAAAAAAACAAAAAAAACAAAAAAACUCUGAUUCUGGAUUUUUUUUACCCUGAUAAUUUGUGGUAGGUUUCUUUAUUUUUUUGAAUAUAAAGUGACAGAAAUAAUUUGCCAUUAGAAAAGAGAAAGAAUCUUUGACUAUUUACAGCUUUUAUACAUCACAAAGUUUUUCUUGUUUUUAUGUUGUGUCUUUUUUUUUUUAAAUUCAUUUUAGUUUUUGUUCCUGCAUCAUUUGAACAAGUCCAAACUGGAAAUCUAUACAGCUCACAAAAAAGCCCUCCACCCAAAAGACCCCCCACCCCCACCCAACCCCAAUGAGAAACAAGAUAAAUCAAAAGAAUGAAAUCAACUUAUUUCUUUUUUUAAAGGUAAGUCAUUUGCUUAUAUAUAUACUUGUAAUUAUUUUUUCAAGUUCAAACACCAAAAUCCAAGAGAGAAAGGAAAAAAUAAAAAGACCCAGUCAUCCACACCCUCCCCCCACUCCAGAAUCUCAAUUGACCCCUGCACGUCCAAAAUAAGAAAUAUAUAUUUACAGAAGACAAAAACAAAACAAAUAAACAAAAAAGAACUUGGAGGUGGAUGGGCUGGGGAUCUGAGAGUCAAGAGGAAGGAGAGCUGGCUCCAGGGGUGGGAUCUGGGCCUCACAGAGUCAAGACAAGCCUGAGUCAUCUGUGUUUUCCCUGGGGAGGAGACCACAUUGGGAAAGCUAUGAAGGUGUCCCCUCUGCCAUGUUACCUUGGCAGGGGUGCAGCUCUGGGUUUGCAACCCAACCCCAUAGUGAAUUUGUAUUCUGUGGCUUCCAUUAUCACCCCCUCACACUCACACACAUGUGCGCACCCUCACAGGCACACACACACAUGCUCCAGUCAUUGUGGCUAAGUCUAAUAUGACACUACUGGAGCAUUGGCACCUGUCAAGUGGAGGAAAAGAGAUUUGCCCUUAGGGACAAGAGCUCAUUGCCCUACACUGUCUAUUCUCUGCUCUCCACUGUAACAUGCCAUCUAGCUCCUUGAAAUGUUUCCACAAGCGUCAUGGCUACUCUGAAGUAUUAAUGCUGGAAUGGUCUUUGGCUAGCAAAGCUCCUAUGAAGAUUUGCCCCCUACUUCCUGCAAAUAUCCUUAACAGACAGGUGCACCCAAUUAACCAGGUACAGGAGGCAACCUAAAUGAGGGGAAAUCUGAGGCAGAGGCAAAGGAAGUCAUGUUGUUUUCUGCUUGCCUUUGAAAGACUGCAUUCCCAGAGGUCAGAAAGCAGAGAGGGUGUGAGAAAACCCUCCCUGGCUAGCUUUCUUUGCUUCCUUCUUCCUUCCUAAAUAUGGUUCUAUUAGUCUUCAGUGCAUAAAGCACAGUGUAACCCCUUGUCUUGGUUGCAAUAUCCUUCCAAUACAAGAACUCAAGAUGUGGCAUUAGACAAGCCCAGUUGAACACAAUUUAAUCUUUUGGGGAAAAUGCCAGGAAGGACAUGACCAAGUUAAGGGGUCCCUUUACUGGAGGACAGAGAAGCUGAACCAGCAGCAGCAGUGGUUGUGAUAAAAUUCAUGCCCUGUUCAAGAUCUGUGGAGGCUUGGAGAACUAGUCCACUAGAAAUGAUUGAACAGCUUCUGUCUCUCUUCAAAUUAUGAGGUUUUUUUUUUUUCCCUAAGGGCACAGGAAAUAAAAUAGAAUCAGCACACCAUCUGUGUCAGAAGUAUGUGGAAUGUUCCUGGGGGCAGGCUCUAGGUUGCUCUUGCUAAAUCUCUAAAUGACAACACUUGGGUUUUUUCCCCUGCCUCUCUUGGUCAAGUUUCUGAUUUGUUCAGGCCCUCCCUAAAAGCCCUCACUUGUCCCUGUUUCAUGGAGUCCCACUCGAAGUCCUUUUCUUCCUAACUCUCUUUUGAUCUUCUAAACCUCCGCCCAAAGCUUUUAAAGACUUUAGAUCAUUUCCUUACGCUACUGUCCCACUGUUCCUCUCUGUCACAAAAGAAAAUACUAAAUAAAAACUAUCAGUCAGAGAAAACAUUCAUUUCGUAGAAUUGGGCAGAGGCAAAGCUGCUUUUCAAUCCUUUUACUUUGAUUUUUUUAAAAGAUAAACAGUGAGAAAGGUGAACAAAGAAUUAUGAUUCCCCUAAGGAAACCAACUUAGUUGGGAGCCUUGAAAAUAAAAAGGAGAUUUACUGUGAAAAUGUGUUCUUUCCAGGGCAAAUAGUCAAAAUGUGGCCUCAAUCCAGGAUUACAUUUGCUAAUAUCUAUAAAAAUAUGUUGUGGACUACCAUAGACGGCAAUGGAAUUUUUCGUGGAAGUUAAAAAAAACAAACAUCAGGAUUUAAGAAGAGGCACUAGAGUUCCAUGUAUUGCUGGCAAGACCCUACCUCCGGCAGUCAUAGCCUUACCCCCUCAAUCUGACAAAGAGACCACCAGAACUGACCCAAAGCACUGGUAAGUCUUGCUUGGGACAGUCACCAUGAGGAGCCCAAGACUCCCGGAAUAUCCCUCAUCACUCAGAACUUUCAUCCCCAGAUGACCAUGUACAUCUCUCAUCUGAGCUCAUUUCCCAUCCUUUACAAACUCCCCAAAUCCUUCCAUGAGUCCACGCUUCUCAUCAGCCACAGCCCUGAUGAUUACUUUCACCUCCUUGCUCUCACUGAAACUUGGAUCUUCCUUGAGGAGUCUGGAGCCCUCUCAAGUGGAAGGCAUUUCCUGUCCCACAUUCCCCAUGCCACUGGGCCUGGAGGUGGAGUAGGGACCUUCCUUGCUCCUCAUUGCCACUUCCAAACCAUCUUCUCUCCCUCUUUCUUAAAAAUCAAAACUACACAAAGUAACAAACCAGCUUUGAAACACAUCAGACUACCAGCUGCUUCCCCUACUUGAAGCAGUAAUUUAAAUAUUCUUGACCACUCUUAUUCUUGUCACUGCCUUAAAUACCAUUCCCGUCAUAAUUUUUGUUGACCUCAAUAGCCACAUAAAUCAACGUUCUAUAUCCUGGCCUCUCAGUACCUUGGCCUCUGCUCCUUCAGCAACCUUGUCCUCUAUCUAACCUCAGCCCAACACUCCACACUAGAUCCCAGAUCAUGUCACUACCAAUAACUGGCACCUCUCCCUAAUCUCAGCCUCAAGCAUCCCACUCUCUGACUCAGCUCCUAAUUUCAAGAUUACUCCUUCUUGAAUCUAAUUCAAUAAUUUGGUAAUCCCAGCCUGCCUCUCAAUCCCCUGCCCCUCCAACACUUCAUUAUUCCCCCAUUCUUUAAAAAUCCUCACUUUUCUCCUCACUCAGCUUAGAUUCCAUGGCCCAUCAUUAUAAUCACUACUUUUCAGUUCCCCUUGACUCCGUGUCUCUUGCUGCCUUCAUUGCAUUCACACGGUUAAACCCCAACGCUGCUUAAAUCCAACUCUCUACCCAAGCAGCUGAACGUAGCUGAAGAAAAUUUCUUUUCAACUCAUGACCAUAAGAACCUCAAGGAAGUCCUUCAUGCCACCUAGCAUGUCUCCUCAUUCUUCUGCUGGAUGGCUAUAUGAGUAAUUCAUGCCUUCUUCUCUUCCCAGAUCUCCAAACACAUUCCCCAAUACUCACUUUAGCUGAUGAACCCCCUUUGUAUUUCACUAAAAAAUUAUCAGUCAAAAAAGACAUAUGCCCACCAUCAUAUUUUCCAUCCCGCUUGCAUCUGUGGCCAAAUACACUAUCUCCCUCCUACAAUCUGAUUAGGCUCCUAAAGCCAGUCCCUUCACUUAUGCACUGGAUCCGGUCCCCUCUCACUUCAUCAAAGACAUCACUCCAGCAAUUAUUCUUUCUCCCUAAGCAUCAUCAAUCUUCCUUCUCUCUUGGAUCAUUCUGGUCAGCAUAAAACAGACUUAUUUCUCCCAUCUUAAAAGCAAUCCCUCCUUGAACUCCAUAUCCUUUACCAUCUACUGCUAUUUCUGUGUUCCCUUUACAGCAAAACUCCUGAAAGAGUUGCCUCUUCAUACUGUCUCCACUUCCUCCGCUCCCACUCUUUCUUGAACAGACUUCUAUCAUGCUUUUGUCCCUACCAGUUCAUGGAAACAGCUCUUUUCCAGGUCAUCAGUGGAAUCACCUCCAUGUUUCUAGAUGAUCUGAUUCAACUCAAUAGUAGCACUUACCCCUGUCCACUCCUCCCAGUGCUGGUUCCUCCUCAUCUCCUGGGGCUCUGAACACUCCUCAGGGCUCAGGCUUGGGAACUCUGUUCUUUUUGCACUCACUCCCUAGAUCCAGUCUCAUGGCUUCAAAUACUAUUCAAAUGCCUAUGAAUUCCAAAUUUAUACCUUCAGGAUCUGCCACUUCUCCGCCAGGUUCACAUAUCUGAUUGCCUUAUCAGUAUUUCCACUUGGAUGUCUGAUGCACAUCUUAAACUUAUUACAAGGCUCUCUUCCCUAAUCUACUUUACCUACUUUUAAUUCCCAUCUUAUUAAUGAUGACUCCAAACUUCCAGUAGCUGAGGCCAAAAAUUCUAGGGUCAUUUUUGAUUCUUUUCUUUCUCACACUCAAUAUCUAAUUCUUCAGCACACCCUUCAAAAAAUAUCUGCAGAAUCCAACCACUUCUCACUACCUCUGCUAACACCAUGGCCCAAGCCACUAUCAUCUUUUACCUGGGUUAAUGUAGUAGCCUCCUACCUGGUCUCACUGCUUCUUCCAUCACGCAUCCUCUCACAGUUCUGCUCAACACAGCAGCUGCAAUGAUUCUUUUAAAAUAGAAGUUGAAUCAUAUCACUCUCUACUGAGAACCUUCUACAACUUCUCAUCUCGCUCUUGGUAAAAGCUCUUACAAUGGCCUACAAGGCCCUACGAUGCCACCUCUCUGACCUCAUCUGUCACACUCUCCUCCUCACUCAUUGGCCUCCUGGCUACUCCUCAAGUAUAUCAAGCACAUAGUUUGACCUCAGGACCUUUGCAAUUUCUUUCUCUUUGCCUGAAAAACCCUUCAUAUAGAAAGCUCCAAGGCUCACUCCCUCAUUUACUUUAAGCCUUUGCUUAAAUGUCACCUUUUCAUAGAAACUUCUCCUGUCCACCCUAUAAAAGUAACAAGUCCACAUCCAUCCUAUCACCUCAUACCCCCAUUAAUCUGCCUCAUUCUUCUCCACAGCACUUGGAAGUAUCUGACAUGAAGCAUAUUUAUUUAUUUCUUCUAUAUUUCCUCUCAAUAUGUAAGCUUCAUGAGGGCAUGCACUUUGUGUUGUUCACUUUGUAUCUUUGUUUUUGGCAUAGGGUUUCCACUCAAUAAAUAUUAAUGCAUGAAUAAACCAUCUCUCCAAAUCAUGCUUCUACACUGCAAGCCAAAUCUCCCAAAAUAAAGAGUUUCAGUAAAAAAAAAAAAACCUGGAUAUUUAUUCUAAACUUUAACCAAAUUUCUAAAUGAUAAGAGCAGAGCUCACUUUCCAUGCUUCUUUCUGAUUUGAGAAUUGUCCUUGGAUUUAUUAUUAUUUUUUAAUAAUUAUGAAAGAAAUGACCUCGAGUCUCAAUCAACGACUCUCUGCCCCUCUCCUCCUGUUGCCUGACUCCUAAAUCCCUUGUGGAUACAGUAGAAUUUAUAGAGACUCUGAAUAUUUGGGAGGAUUACUUAACAUCUUAGCCUUUCUGGUUUGCUCAGAACAUAUGAUCUACUGCCCUUCAAUGAUAUUUUAUAGCUUAAAAGAUUAUGUCUAAGUCAGUAAAUUCGAUGUUAAUAUGUGUAAGACUCAAGAUUAAAUCAAUCUGUAAGAUGCCUAUUUGUAAUCUAAUCUACCAAUUUUCCUCCUGAAGUAAAUAGUAAUCAGAUUAGAAACCUGGUGUUUUCACUGGGGAUGGGAAGAUAUAAUUUUAUUUAAAAGAUUUUCUCUCUCAGAGGUGACCUAACUGUGUGAUCCAAAAUCAUUCUAAAAUUGAAAAAAAGGUUCAGCUAACUCUAUUCCCCUGAUAUAUGUUGUUCUCCACAGUGCCCUUUGGGUUCCCCAUUUCAGUAAAUGUAAUCAUAAUGGGUCUAAGGCUCUUCUACUCAGAAAAUUCUUGACGAGAAUGGAAAUCUUUGCAGAGGAGCUGUCCUAAAGGUUUGUAGAUGAAUUUUUGAAGAGUUAAGGUACAGUGCUUAACAGUGUCUUCCUGGAAGGAGGCCUAUACCUCUAAAGUCAGUCCGUCACCAGUCUUCUGAACAAUCAAUGGCAGCACAGCUUCUUCUGCUGGAGCUCAUAGGGGAAGCAAGCAAAUCUCUUAUGGAAUAAACCAGAGCACCUGGAUGUUGGGGUCAUUGUCUCCUCACCCCAAAACCAUUCUACCCCGAUUUCUCCCUUCAUUGCUUUUAAAUUUUUCUCCGCUCAGCGAAGACCAUUUUUCAGAAUCAAGUUUUUUGUCUACUUGUCACUGAAUCUACUUCCUAUUUCACCUUCUCUCUCUCCUUCCAAUAGAUGCACAAUAUUUAUGGUUAAAAAAUAACACUGGUAAGAUAUCUAGAAACUAUGCAGCCUUAGAGCCAAGGAGAGCUGAGAAUAGUGUCAUAUCACCAGCGCAUUCAAACUGAAACCCAAACAUCCCCUAUCACACAGGGCUUGCACUUUGAAACAAAAUAAGAGAGAGAAGACAAUGACAACCAUAAAAUGCCUCCACGCACAUGACAGGCACGUCAGUCAAAGCUGUGGUGCACAUUCUCACAGAAGUUGCUUAAUACUUCAGAGCACACCCCUCUCCACCAGCAGAACUGCAGGCUCUUACUGGAGGGCACACACUUUCUCAAGACCUGACCUUGAGUUGAAGCAUCUGGUCAUAAGGCCUUUUUCAUCUGCUUAUCACUCUCCUUUUUACCAUCUCUAUCUUCCUAUGUUAAAAAAUAAUGAGAAAACCAUGAGCAGUUACCAAGGGUUUCUUUCAACAUCCUAAUAGUUUCUAUAAUAAUUCAGCUUAAGGAAUACAUCCCUCCUUUGCAGGGAACGUGGUGAGGAGGGGAGCCAAAACCAUGAAUAGGAACCAGGUGAGCUGCCAAGAAGGCUGAGAGGUGAGGAAGAAUUUCCAUGUAAGGAAUCUGGAAGGUUCAACGAUAAAAUCCACUUUGUAAUAGCUAAGAACAUAGGUAUUUUGAUCUAUUUCCUAUUACAGCUAUCAUUCUUUUUGUUUGGCGCCAACCACUGAAAUUUGUUUUGGAAUCACAGCUGCCAGGAAAGGAAAGAAGAGAACAAGGGCCUGAAAAAAGACAUAGCUCUGGGGGAGAGAAUAAGAACCUAAAAGAUGGUCAGGAUUAAAUGAAAUAUGCUGAUUCUAUUUAUUCUUCUUGAAUUUCUAUAGAAAACUUUGCCAGUAGGAUGUUUGGUUGGUGGUGACCAGAUAGACUUCCCCACGAUGUGGAAAAAUAAAAAAGAAACAAAGGAAAUCAGUAAACAAUGAUCACUGUCCCAGAAGAUCAUAGUUUUGUUCUCCGUCUCAUUUAUCUUCCCAUCUACCAGGCCUUACCCAAACAGAGUUAUGAAGACUAUUCUUCCCUGUAAGCUACAGAAAGCAAGAGGCCAAGAAGAGGUGUGAGCAGACCCAAUGUCAGUGACCAAAUGGAGAAGCCUGGCUUGGGAAGAAAUCAAAACCACAAUAUCAGAGGAAUUAUAUUCUGCCCCCAGUCUCAGGGAGAAGUUUAUGCUCAUGUGGAGGCUUCUGCUCAGCAGAGUGUCCUGGGCUCUGAAAUGAACUUUACCCUGCCUUUCCACAGGACACCUAGCACCCAGGCCCACUAAAAUCUACCCGAAAUGGGAAGGUGCCCUCAUUUUUAUAUAUACUCUCAGCUGAGCAGCUUUGGUCUUGUGCAGAUACGGAUUUUCUUUGUAAAAUUUUUCCUUCAUAAUGCUUCCCUUAGCUAUCUUUUUGGUAGCUAUGUUUGAGUUUGAGAAUUAUCUUUUUCAUUUCUACCAUAAUCUUUGAUACUAAUCACAAGAGCUCAUAGUUUCGAUUAAAUAAUUCUUUGUUGUUUCAUGCCUUUAGGAUCUCCAUGAAUCCUUUUAUUUCCCCUCCCCAUGAAUACAUCUGUAGCCUAACAGGGAAUGGUCAUCUCAGCGGACUAAGGUGUUCCAAAUGCUCAUCAGCUGUUGGCUCUGUUACUUGUCAUAAAGGAGCAUCAUGAUCCAAGUGUCUAUAAUGACACUCAUGUGAAGGAUGAAGUCACCAUGGAGUCAAGAUAGAAUAGCCCCUGCCCCUCUCUCUUAGCUUACUAUGAUACCAUCAUGAUUUCAUGUGGCUUAUUAGGAGGCAAAAAUGAGAGAAGGGAUAUUUGUAACUGGCUUGAUUCUAAACUUUGAGCUUAAGGAGAGCUCUAGUAGCCUCCUCUAUCCCAUCCCCACGCAUGGGAAUAAAACUUGCCUCCUCUCUCUGCCCAUAUUCUUUCCUGAAGCCAGGCUCUUGAACUAGGCUCUGGGAAUGACUACACCGUGAAACUGACGUAAUAGAAGACUCGCCACUCACCCAUAUUCUACACACCAGAGACCCAAGGCUAUGAGAAAUUCUACUCAUCCACUCUGCCUUCCACCUUCAGUUCUCAUCAGGAGUUCUCACCCUCAUAAUCACACCAGCAAUUAUGUUUUAAAGCAUGGAACAGCACCAGAAACUCACUGUGAUGAGCUCUCAGAUGGAUGCAAAUGGACACACUGGCAGAGAAAUGUGGAUGAUUUCUAACUUUGCCCGCUUAUUCCCAGUACUGCUAUCCUAACUCAUCACUCUUGGGGCAAAACUGUUUUUCUUUGCUUCAAUAUUAUAAAUCUGAGACCCCAAACUUCACUAAUCUAUCCAAGGAAUGGAAAUAGCCCUGACUUUCAUAUAAGGUUUUUGAAGGGUUCUUUGUCAUGAGAAUAAAUAAGUUUAUCUACUUUAAGUCACAGAACCCAUAGGGCAUCUGUGUGGUUGAGUCAACAUGGUUGGAAUGAGAUGGAGGUGGGAUAUAUUCAAAUAUCCAGUGAUUUUAUAUAAUACUGGAACCCCCAAACUAGAAUGGAAUCUUAGAUCUAGAUUGGGUAUUAGAAGUUCUCAGACUGACAAAUCUACAAUUUAGUGAUGUCCCAAAUAUCUGGUAGGACUAAAAAGGAAUUGCCCACUGGUUAAGUUGCACAUGGCAGUCCAGUAUCUCCUUAACAGUUAGCAUGUGUUGGGAUCAUUGGGCACCCCGCAUGGAGGUGGGGAAGUACAGAAUAUAGAACAACUCAGCUGAACUGGAAGAUUGAAUGGGGACAGAGAACAGAUAAUUAUAGUAACCUUUUAUUAUCAUAACAUUAAUUUAAUUUGAUCUUUUUAGUUGCUUAUGCAGUAACCUGUAAUGGAGGAGAAGCAUCAGUCUUCCAUUUUCUAUAGAAAGAGUCACAGUCCUUACGCCUGCCCUACAAGGCAUUGACUUUAGAAAUUCAUAAACUAGAUACUCAUGUGACUGCUUAUUGAGAAGAAUUCCUAGCUCAGAGUCCUAUUCCUGUGUCACAUGAGCCUUAAAUAAAAGCAGGUAGAAGAUGAGAUAUGGUUUAAAUGUCUUUAUACUUUAGAACCUGUACCUUCACUCCCUUGUCUAUUACUCUUAGUGUUCUUUGCUCUCUCCCUCUUCUCUUGCAUCAUUACUUUAUUCCCAGGAAAAAGAAUCAGAAUCCUAAUGUAAACUAUGUGCUUAAAUGUAUAAAUCUCUAAUAUGGCUUAACAUGUUACCCUUCCUGGGAUUAUUUUCAUUUAAAUGACAGAUGAGCAGCUCAGUGCUAAAGGAAUAUAUCCAUGUGGGAAGCCAGUAGUUGGAGUGGAGUGGAGAGUAAAGGGAAGGUUUCCUUGGGACCUCUGAAAUCACACCAUGGACCAUAUACCGUUUGUAAGGCCAGACCCAUUCCAGUAUAACUGCCCAUCUUAAGCUGAUUCUCAUCUAUAAAGAGUUCCUCAGACAGGAAGAAGAGUCUAUGACAUUCAAGUGAAGAAAGCAAAUGCUCUCCCAAAGUAUUUGGCAGUCUACUGAGCAAACAUUUGUUAUAUGGCUUUGGGCUCAGAGAGCGUGUAAGUUAUGGCCACAAAACCUGGAAAUGCCUAGUGUACUCAUCAAUAGUACUGCAGCUGCAUUAUUUAUGCACACAUUUGAAUCAUUCCUAACACACCAAACAGACCAUACAGGGUGUUAAGGAAAAACAGGGCUUUUUUAGAGGGAAGGGGAUUAAAAGAAUAAAGUGAUUCCUGGAGUAGCAUUUUCCAGAGGCUAUUGCCCAAUCUGUUCUUCUUUCCCUGAAUCCUGAACUAACUAAAAAACAAACAAAAAGCAAAAAGAGAAACCCUAGUUUUUAAAUGAGAUGUGCAGGUGACCAGCACACUGCAGUUUUGGUAACAUGGUUUCUUCACCUCCCAUGCAGAGAAUUACCCCUUAGGCAACUCCUGAUGACCAUGGAAGACUGGGUAGGUGAUAUUCACUUAAUCAUAUAGACGACUCAUAUUUUAUCACAUUGCACAUGCGUUUUGGCACUACUAAACCACCAACAUUUAAUGGAAUCAUUUGGGAUUUUUUUCACCUAAUUACAACAUGGCUGUGGC
This 10654-nucleotide long non-coding RNA is filed under the name Equus asinus (donkey). RNAcentral's name for it is "lncRNA (ENSEASG00005028476.1)". The record is from RNAcentral. Lineage: Eukaryota; Metazoa; Chordata; Mammalia; Perissodactyla; Equidae.